Molecule: ribosomal RNA, 253 nt
Filed under: uncultured bacterium
Lineage: Bacteria
Description: partial 16S ribosomal RNA
Rfam family: Bacterial small subunit ribosomal RNA
Source: RNAcentral
UACGAAGGGGGCUAGCGUUGUUCGGAAUUACUGGGCGUAGAGCGCGCGCAGGCGGCUAUCCAAGUCAGUGGUGAAAGCCCGGAGCUCAACUCCGGAACUGCCAUUGAAACUGUUUAGCUUGAGGAUGAGAGAGGUGAGUGGAAUUCCCAGUGUAGAGGUGAAAUUCGUAGAUAUUGGGAAGAACACCGGUGGCGAAGGCGGCUCACUGGCUCAUUACUGACGCUCAGGCGCGAUAGCGUGGGGAUCAAACAGG